Long non-coding RNA from Drosophila gunungcola (fruit fly), 393 nucleotides. RefSeq lists it as uncharacterized. Lineage: Eukaryota; Metazoa; Arthropoda; Insecta; Diptera; Drosophilidae. The transcript is spliced from 3 exons. The record is from RefSeq and is a predicted model, not a curated record.
UAAGUCCGUUAGCAGCUUACCAUGGAACAAUCCGGAGUGGAAACCUCUUCAAUUAAUUGAAAAUGUCGACGUUUACUAACAGAAUUCCCAGUUUGAAUGACGGUAUUCGCCACUUUGUUUAACGCUCUGCCCGCUGCCUUCAAAACUCACCAUGGCAGCGCAGUCGACGUUGACGGCGGCAGAGGCAGAGGCACGAAUUCGCCUCGUUUCGCUUCGUAUUGAGAUAACAACACGCAGGAUAACUCACGCAUGAUUCGAAUCGCAUCUUUCGCUGGCAACAAAUAUAUAUAGUAAUAAGGACGUGCGGUGGCCAUUUUGGGUAGACUGUAGAUUACGAAAAACUGGAGCACAGAUAAAGUCCCUGCCAAGCAAAAAUAAACAAAUUUACUAAUA